UGAAUCUUCUGUCCAGAAGUGUCCGGCUGAAUUUCCAAGCCGAUUGCUCGCUAAAAGUGGGCCGAUUGGGACAAUACGAGGAAAUAAGAGCCAACACUGCGGCUGAAGCCGGCCAGAAAGCAACUCGUGGGAUUCCCAUAUUCUCAGCAACUUGCAGAGCCCACCCAGUAUUCUCAUCAGCAAUAACACAGGUUUCAUGCCAUCUGGGAGUGAAACAAGAUGAAUAUUAGUAUUACCGUCCCAUUCCUCUGUAUGAUUUGCUUCCGCCAUAGCAUCUAUCACACGCUUGUGAUUAUACUCCGUGUUCACAAACGUGAUUUCGAACCUGUGUUUGGCUAAGCACAGACAGAUUUCCAGCAUGGGGAUCACAUGGCCUUGUGCUGGAUAAGGCAGGCUUAGAGUUCCAAAGAAGCUUGGACAUCAGUUGUCUCACUUCCUUGCCAUGAAUUCUACAAAACUCCAACGAGUGAAGUUUUUUCUCUGUAGAUUUAUACUAAUUCUCCAACGAGAAGAUUCCAAGUUUGUGUUGGGAUAAACUCUAUAUUAUAUUAUAAGGAUGAAUUAUCCUUUUUUGUAUGAAUCUAGCAGGAAAUACUAAGUAGAAAUAAUAAAUGUAAA
Non-coding RNA from Momordica charantia (bitter melon), 618 nucleotides. Lineage: Eukaryota; Viridiplantae; Streptophyta; Magnoliopsida; Cucurbitales; Cucurbitaceae. The record is from RefSeq and is a predicted model, not a curated record.